UCCGGAAACGGGUGCUAAUACCGCAGUAGUUUUCUUGAUCGCAUGAUCGGGAAAGGAAAGACGGCCUUUGUGCGUGUCGCUUAUGGAUGGACCUGCGGCGUAUUAGUUAGUUGGUGAGGUAACGGCUCACCAAGACGAUGAUACGUAGCCGACCUGAGAGGGUGAUCGGCCACAUUGGGACUGAGACACGGCCCAAACUCCUACGGGAGGCAGCAGUAGGGAAUCUUCCGCAAUGGACGAAAGUCUGACGGAGCAACGCCGCGUGAGUGAAGAAAAGGGUUUUCGGAUCGUAAAACUCUGUUGUCAGAGAAGAACAAGUUGGAGAGUAACUGCUCCAGCCUUGACGGUAUCUGACCAGAAAGCCACGGCUAACUACGUGCCAGCCGCCGC
RNAcentral lists this ribosomal RNA (390 nucleotides) under uncultured bacterium. RNAcentral describes it as "bacterial SSU rRNA". It matches the Rfam family "Bacterial small subunit ribosomal RNA", at positions 149 to 518 of the family's 1533-position model. The record is from RNAcentral.